AUGAACGCUGGCGGCGUGCCUAAUCCAUGCAAGUCGAGCGAACAGAUAAGGAGCUUGCUCCUUUGACGUUAGCGGCGGACGGGUGAGUAACACGUGGGUAACCUACCUAUAAGACUGGGAUAACUUCGGGAAACCGGAGCUAAUACCGGAUAACAUUUGGAACCGCAUGGUUCUAAAGUGAAAGAUGGUUUUGCUAUCACUUAUAGAUGGACCCGCGCCGUAUUAGCUAGUUGGUAAGGUAACGGCUUACCAAGGCAACGAUACGUAGCCGACCUGAGAGGGUGAUCGGCCACACUGGAACUGAGACACGGUCCAGACUCCUACGGGAGGCAGCAGUAGGGAAUCUUCCGCAAUGGGCGAAAGCCUGACGGAGCAACGCCGCGUGAGUGAUGAAGGGUUUCGGCUCGUAAAACUCUGUUAUUAGGGAAGAACAAAUGUGUAAGUAACUGUGCACGUCUUGACGGUACCUAAUCAGAAAGCCACGGCUAACUACGUG
RNAcentral lists this ribosomal RNA (496 nucleotides) under uncultured bacterium. RNAcentral describes it as "partial 16S ribosomal RNA". It matches the Rfam family "Bacterial small subunit ribosomal RNA", at positions 29 to 507 of the family's 1533-position model. The record is from RNAcentral.